GGAAAAGAGAUUUUGCACAAAAUGAAAGCUAAAGUUGGUUUAGGUUCAUCUUCAGCGGAAACUGGAAAAGGAAAGAGUAAGAUGUCAGGCAAACAUAUCAAACACGGGUACCACUUGGUAAAGGGGAAAUCAACACAUCCAAUGGAGGACUAUCUGGUGGCCGAGUUUAGGCAUGUGGGUGACUAUGAAUUGGGUUUAUAUGCGAUCUUCGAUGGCCAUUU
This 221-nucleotide unclassified non-coding RNA is filed under the name Hevea brasiliensis (rubber tree). The record is from RNAcentral. Lineage: Eukaryota; Viridiplantae; Streptophyta; Magnoliopsida; Malpighiales; Euphorbiaceae.